This 707-nucleotide ribosomal RNA is filed under the name Salmonella enterica. RNAcentral's name for it is "bacterial SSU rRNA". It matches the Rfam family "Bacterial small subunit ribosomal RNA", at positions 1 to 697 of the family's 1533-position model. Lineage: Bacteria; Pseudomonadati; Pseudomonadota; Gammaproteobacteria; Enterobacterales; Enterobacteriaceae. The record is from RNAcentral.
AAAUUGAAGAGUUUGAUCAUGGCUCAGAUUGAACGCUGGCGGCAGGCCUAACACAUGCAAGUCGAACGGUAACAGGAAGCAGCUUGCUGCUUCGCUGACGAGUGGCGGACGGGUGAGUAAUGUCUGGGAAACUGCCUGAUGGAGGGGGAUAACUACUGGAAACGGUGGCUAAUACCGCAUAACGUCGCAAGACCAAAGAGGGGGACCUUUGGGCCUCUUGCCAUCAGAUGUGCCCAGAUGGGAUUAGCUUGUUGGUGAGGUAACGGCUCACCAAGGCGACGAUCCCUAGCUGGUCUGAGAGGAUGACCAGCCACACUGGAACUGAGACACGGUCCAGACUCCUACGGGAGGCAGCAGUGGGGAAUAUUGCACAAUGGGCGCAAGCCUGAUGCAGCCAUGCCGCGUGUAUGAAGAAGGCCUUCGGGUUGUAAAGUACUUUCAGCGGGGAGGAAGGUGUUGUGGUUAAUAACCGCAGCAAUUGACGUUACCCGCAGAAGAAGCACCGGCUAACUCCGUGCCAGCAGCCGCGGUAAUACGGAGGGUGCAAGCGUUAAUCGGAAUUACUGGGCGUAAAGCGCACGCAGGCGGUCUGUCAAGUCGGAUGUGAAAUCCCCGGGCUCAACCUGGGAACUGCAUUCGAAACUGGCAGGCUUGAGUCUUGUAGAGGGGGGUAGAAUUCCAGGUGUAGCGGUGAAAUGCGUAGAGAU